RNAcentral lists this long non-coding RNA (726 nucleotides) under Sinocyclocheilus anshuiensis. RNAcentral describes it as "lncRNA (ENSSANG00000013502.1)". The record is from RNAcentral. Lineage: Eukaryota; Metazoa; Chordata; Actinopteri; Cypriniformes; Cyprinidae.
GUCGUCUGUAAAGCACGCCUGAGUCAGCUACUAAAUUCAGCUUCAGCAAAUUUGCCCAACCAGUGGAGUGUUCUCAAGAUGAAGAGUCACGUCAAGAACAAUUCUUUCUCCUCUGUUGACCAUUUGCUCAAAAGAACAUGACAUUUUCUUUCUAUUUGGAUUCUUUUCAGGUGUAUCUGGUCAAAUGAGAUUCCAGAGACGUGAAAGAAAGAUUCAUACACAGUAAAUCAAAGCCGUAACCCUCGGAUUCAAAUGCUCUUUGUCAGCAAUCAGCCGCCCUGCCAACCGAUCGGAUGAGAGGAAAUCCACUGCAUACAGAUUUCAACAUCAGCUGCCAAACAUAAUGAUCCAAGCUAGAACGGUCCUGAGGGACAGAGCAGUUCCAGCGACACUCACUGGCCGGAGGAGGGCGCUCUGGAGCCGCCGUCACCUGCUUCAGUAAACAGCUUCAUCUAUGUUAUCAUCACUGUCUCCUCCAAACUCGUCUCCAUUGUCAAAGUGGGACAUGAUGUAAUCUGUUUCCUGUUACACACAUACAUAGGAUUAAUUGGCUAAAACUUGUAUUGAAUGUUGGUUUAAUACAGGUUCACCUCAGUCAAUAGCAUUUGUGGUAUAAUAUUGAUUACUACACAAUAUUCUAAAAGGGCAAAAUCAAGGUUAUACUGAGGAAGUAAAUGGGAGAUUUUUUUUAGAGGCUUUAAAAGCUUAUAAGUUUAUAACAGCACA